This is a non-coding RNA of Poecilia reticulata (guppy), 2436 nucleotides long. The record is from RefSeq and is a predicted model, not a curated record. NCBI's taxonomy places the organism in Eukaryota, Metazoa, Chordata, Actinopteri, Cyprinodontiformes, Poeciliidae.
AACCUGUUGAAACUGUGACAAAUUUUAAAUUUUAGCCGCUGAAGGCUUUUAUCAGCGUGGACCUUCAUCGGUUCACUUUGACACCUGAUGACAGAAGCGUGGAGAAAAAAACAACAAGGUUAGCUUUCAGCAUCAAAUGCAACAGAAAUCCUCAGAGAAAGUCUGGAUUUAAAUGUUGAGGCGCAGUAGAGUUUACGGCCUGCAGGCGGUUGCUAUUGAUGGGUUUAAAAGAGCCAAUUGAUUUAAGCAUCCCUAAGGGAAGCAAUAGCAAUCUAUAACAACACUAUACAAACUAAAUGGAGACCCCCCCCCCCCCCAGUUAUUAUCACCCCUGCUAAAGACGGUAAUUUGAAUUAAUGUAUUAAAUAGGGAAUAAAAUCUAAUAUUACUGAUACUACAAAUAUUGAAAAUUUGAAUUUUUUUUUACAUUAGUUGCUGAUCUAAGACUUCCUGUUGCUCCAGGGGGAAAAUAUUACGUCGAUAAUAUUUAAAUAAUAUGGUCAAUUUACUACUUUUUUGUCUUUUCUAAAACCAAAAGUUGUGCCGGCUUCAACAGCGUAAGCGUAGCUUACAUCAAACAGUUUUGAUUAUUUUUUUCCACAUCCAGAUAAGAAGUCUGGUCAAAGUUGAUUCAAGAAGUUUGGGUCAUCAUAAAAGCUCAUCCUUAAAUCUGAAGAAGCAUCAUCUUCCUCCUGCCUUACGUAACCCAGCGGAGGCCCGUUACGUAACAGACCCAAAUCCUAUUAAUGUUAAUAAAGGAAGCGCGCUGGUGUAGGAGUCCAGCUGAUGAGGUUGGACGGCUGGACCGAGAAGUGGGCCGUGGCCUCUCUGGCUCUCCGGUCAGCACAGUGACGGGUCCUCAAUUCUGCUCUGAAGCAUCACCCCUCAGAGUAAAAUUUGAGUGUUUUAUUUAGAAACGAGACGAAAACAAAAGGAAAUCAUUCCUUUCGAAUGCAAAUGAAAAAUUUCCACCUUUAUCUUCUGUCGUGGAUGCGAGUAAUCUGGCAGGAUGGGAGCCUUUUUGGGACAAAUCCCUCGCCUUCGUGGGAGCUAUUUAAGGGCUUUAUUGUUUCUGUUUUUAGCUCCGUCUUCUCUCCCCUGGUUCCACGCUGCUUCAUGGAUGAAUUCACAGGUUCCUCUUGAACGACGGAGCCGGCUCUCCCUUCUAUCCGGUUCCCCCCUCUCCCCCCCCGGCUACCACUGCCAGCCUCGGUUUAAAAGUGCGCUAAUGGGAAGCAGACCGGCCGGAGUGGUCAGCUCCAGCCGGCCCUAAUGGAAAUCAAUGGGCUAUUCAUUAGAGCAGAAUUUAGGUGACACACCGAGGCUGGCCUAUCUGCCUCGUUUUAUACCUCGCUGACUCUGUCUUCUCUCUACUAUCUCCUUUUCUUUGAAAUAUGGCUGCUUGUCGCCGUCGUGCUCUAUUAAGCCAGCUGGAGUUAAUCACAAAGGCACUAUGUUACGCUCCUGUUAUGUUAUGGCGUCGUAGAUCAUUUUAAAUAACUUUCCUCACCGAAGGAUUUCACCUUUCUGUUCACGUUAGGAGGCAGAGCAGCCCACAAUUUGACAGCCGAUAAGCGAAAUUAUGGAGUAUCGGGACAGUUUUCCCGCUUAAAUGCCGACCUCAAUUUGUGGCUGACAGCUAAGCGAAAGGGUGCUAGCUUUCAUCGCCUUUGCAUGGGAAGCUCCGAAACAAAAUAAGAAAGAAAACCAUGAAAGAAGAGGGAACGUGUAGAAUGACUAGGAACAAGUGAGGAGAAGGAGGUGAGAGGGGGAAAAGGCAGAGCGAGAGAAGGAUGGGCAAAGCGUUUUCUUGGCCCCGGGGCCGGCGAACGACAGUUGCCAUAGCAACGUGUUACCCACGACCCACUUCAGUCCCUCGCAGACGCCUCACUCCGCCUUCACACGCGAGCACAACCCAAAGAUUGGCGUCAAGCGGCAGCUGAAGCUGAAGCUGCGGAGUGGCGCAGAUGACGGCAGCUUUUCUCUACUCAGAGUGAUCAGCUGCAUGGUGGCGGUCAGUGCUGCAGCUGGAUUUACUGUCGUAGCUGCAGUGACACUUGGACUCACCCUGAGAAAAACACACUGCAGAUGCUGCAGACAGUCUGAAAGUCUUGAACUAGACGGUGAAAAUGAAGGGGAGUACGCCAGCCUUCAGCAGCCUGAGGAGGAUUUCUACCAGACUACAUCUAUGAUGAACCAUCCGWAUGUCAACGCUCUGGGGAGGAAAAGUAAAAAGGCCUGUUUAGAAACUGAACAACAAACAGAAGACAUCUAUGAAAACCUGUAAAACAAAACAAAUAUUCUGUGAUGAAAGAAAACUUCCAGAAAAUCUGCUGAUCUGGGAACAUCUACCUGAGGAUUUUACCUUUACAAACAUUUAGAAAUUACAAUAUUUAGUUUUUAUUAUCUUAACUCAAUAAAGCUUCAAUUUCUGCA